GGCAUGCGCAGCUACCAUGCAGUCGUACGAGAAGGUUCCUUCGGGAACUGGAGAGUGGCGCACGGGUGAGUAACGCGUGGGGACCUACCUCUUAGUGGGGGAUAACGGUUGGAAACGACCGCUAAUACCGCAUACGCCCUUCGGGGGAAAGAUUUAUCGCUAAGAGAUGGACCCGCGUUGGAUUAGAUAGUUGGUGAGGUAACGGCUCACCAAGUCAGCGAUCCAUAGCUGGUUUGAGAGGAUGAUCAGCCACACUGGGACUGAGACACGGCCCAGACUCCUACGGGAGGCAGCAGUGGGGAAUAUUGGACAAUGGGCGCAAGCCUGAUCCAGCCAUGCCGCGUGAGUGAAGAAGGCCUUCGGGUUGUAAAGCUCUUUCAGAUGCGAAGAUGAUGACGGUAACAUCAGAAGAAGCCCCGGCUAAUUUCGUGCCAGCAGCCGCGGUAAUACGAAAGGGGCAAGCGUUGUUCGGAUUUACUGGGCGUAAAGGGCACGCAGGCGGUCCUGCCAGUCAGGGGUGAAAGCCCGGGGCUCAACCCCGGAACUGCCUCUGAUACUGCAGGACUAGAGACUAGGAGAGGGUGGUGGAAUUCCCAGUGUAGAGGUGAAAUUCGUAGAUAUUGGGAGGAACACCAGAGGCGAAGGCGGCCACCUGGACUAGAUCUGACGCUCAGGUGCGAAAGCGUGGGGAGCAAACAGGAUUAGAUACCUGUGGUUAGUCA
This 722-nucleotide ribosomal RNA is filed under the name Thalassospira sp. RNAcentral's name for it is "bacterial SSU rRNA". It matches the Rfam family "Bacterial small subunit ribosomal RNA", at positions 41 to 796 of the family's 1533-position model. The record is from RNAcentral. Lineage: Bacteria; Pseudomonadati; Pseudomonadota; Alphaproteobacteria; Rhodospirillales; Thalassospiraceae.